Long non-coding RNA from Pleuronectes platessa (European plaice), 1075 nucleotides. RefSeq lists it as uncharacterized. The transcript is spliced from 2 exons. NCBI's taxonomy places the organism in Eukaryota, Metazoa, Chordata, Actinopteri, Pleuronectiformes, Pleuronectidae. The record is from RefSeq and is a predicted model, not a curated record.
UCUGCUGUGUGUUCUAUAGAAGUGGAUCAGUGUCACAUAUCAACUGUUGUUUAUUUUAGGAAACUUCACAUCAGAGGAGACUCCAGCCUCCACUGGUAUUUUUCUUAUUUAUAUACGUCUACUUGUUUUGGAGGAAAAACUCAAUAUUAAUCAACACAUUUUCCAUUAUUGAGUGAAGCCUUUUGGUUGUCUGGUUCUCCUCCUGCUCUGUCUUUUCAUCAAGGUCAAAUUUCAUCAGGAAGAUCCCUCAGGAUCUAAUGAGAUGAAAGAAACUAGAAUGGGACUCAGUAGAGCGCAUAUUCACCAAGGCCCAGCAGUCCCCUUAAAUACAAUCAAGCCGCACCAAAUUUCACACACUCAUAGAUAUCAGUCCUCUACAUACGGCAGAUUUUUUUCAUUAAGGUCCAAGAAUUAUUCCCUGGGAAAACGUUUUAAAGCACAAUGUUAAAGAAAGAGAUCAAAAGUGACUGGAUCAGCUUAAUACCAAAAUACAGUGGGCCCUUUCCUGACACUUACUACAUCUGCCCGCCAAGAUGAUUGGAAAUCCAAUUGUUGUUGUUAUUAUAACAGUUUUAUUUAUUUAAACAAGUAUUAUGUCGUCUUGAUCAGGUUCCUGGAAAUGGAUCUUUGCUUCAUGUGGGGUUCUACUUCUGAUCAUCAUUCCUUUGACUGUUUGGCUCGUUUGUCACUACAGGUACCAGAAGUUCUGCAAUUGGAGCUGCUGGCCAGUUUCCAAACAGGAAGUUCCAGCAGGGGUGCUUCCUGCCACCAAGUUGGAUGUGACUGAGGUGCAGUAGGACCUGUCCUGGAUGGAGAUGUCCAACCUGUUGGAAAAGGAUUCUUAUUGUGGCACUUAAAGGGAAACUCUCUUCUGAAGCCCAGAGAAAGUAUUAACUAUUGGGUCAAACCUAUGAGAAAGCUCAGUCAGUGCUGCAAUUUGUAGUAUCUGAUGGUCACAUGUCAAAAUAGUGCUGCCUGAUAUAUUUUUGAAUUGAAUUAAAUGAGAUGUUUAGGAUUUAUAAGGAUGACUACAUUUGCUGAUGGUGCAGAUUCCAAUACAAAUGUUAUUGUUUCA